Molecule: long non-coding RNA, 373 nt
Filed under: Capsicum annuum
Lineage: Eukaryota; Viridiplantae; Streptophyta; Magnoliopsida; Solanales; Solanaceae
Description: long non-coding RNA (CANN_LNC000668)
Source: RNAcentral
CUACACUUAAACAUUUUGAAGUAACAAAUUCACUUGUCAAGUGACCACAGUUUACUAAAAUCAAAACGCAAGUUCACAUUUCAAGUACCUAAAUUCAAAACAAAAGUCACUAAUCCAUAAUUCAAGUACCUAAACAUUUUCAAGUUACCAACCUAAACUAAUUUCAAAAUAAAAAGUUCACAUUUCAAGUACCUACACUUAAACAUUUUCAAGUCACUAAUUCACUUCACAGGUUGCCAAACUAAACUUAAUUCAAAAUGAAAAGUUCACAUUUCAAGUACCUACACUUAAACAUUUUCAAGUCACUAAUUCACUUAUCAAGUGACCACACUAUACUAAAAUCAAAACGCAAGUUCACAUUUCAAGUACCUAA